RNAcentral lists this ribosomal RNA (473 nucleotides) under uncultured bacterium. RNAcentral describes it as "partial 16S ribosomal RNA". The record is from RNAcentral.
ACGGCUACCUUGUUACGACUUCACCCCAGUUACCGGCUCCACCUUCGGCAGCUCCCUCCUUACGGUUGGGUCACUGACUUCGGGCAUUUCCGACUCCCAUGGUGUGACGGGCGGUGUGUACAAGACCCGGGAACGUAUUCACCGCGGCAUUCUGAUCCGCGAUUACUAGCGAUUCCAGCUUCAUGUAGUCGGGUUGCAGACUACAAUCCGAACUGGGACGUUAUUUUUGGGAUUUGCUUGGCGUCACCGCUUUGCUUCCCUUUGUUUACGCCAUUGUAGCACGUGUGUAGCCCUGAUCAUAAGGGGCAUGAUGAUUUGACGUCAUCCCCGCCUUCCUCCCGGUUAUCCCGGGCAGUCUCUCCAGAGUGCCCAUCUUAAAUGCUGGCUACUGGAAAUAGGGGUUGCGCUCGUUGCGGGACUUAACCCAACAUCUCACGACACGAGCUGACGACAACCAUGCACCACCUGUCUCC